Ovis aries (sheep) is the source of this 72-nucleotide transfer RNA. It matches the Rfam family "tRNA". From Rfam's summary of the family: Transfer RNA (tRNA) molecules are approximately 80 nucleotides in length. Their secondary structure includes four short double-helical elements and three loops (D, anti-codon, and T loops). Further hydrogen bonds mediate the characteristic L-shaped molecular structure. tRNAs have two regions of fundamental functional importance: the anti-codon, which is responsible for specific mRNA codon recognition, and the 3' end, to which the tRNAs corresponding amino acid is attached (by aminoacyl-tRNA synthetases). tRNAs cope with the degeneracy of the genetic code in two manners: having more than one tRNA (with a specific anti-codon) for a particular amino acid; and 'wobble' base-pairing, i.e. permitting non-standard base-pairing at the 3rd anti-codon position. Lineage: Eukaryota; Metazoa; Chordata; Mammalia; Artiodactyla; Bovidae. The record is from Rfam.
UCCCUGGUGGCUCAGAUGGUAAAGCGUCUACCUACAGUGCAGGAGACCCGGGUUCAAUCCCUGGGUAGGGAA